AGCAGCCAAUCAAAGGCUUUAGAUUAGUCACGCUUGUUAAAGUCACGUGCUCGUGACUGAAUUCACUGCGUUCACGAAGUCUCUCGUCUUAAACAACAAAUAGUGUUUUAGCGACGUUAAGUAUUACAUUUCGCUGCUUCAGUAAUUGUAAGUGAUGAAUUUCAUCGGAUCACAACCCUUCCUUUACACUCCAAAAUUCAUGUCCAAACUGGAUCUGUUCUCUGAUGAUCUGCUAAAAGUGUUUACCAAAAAGGGUGGAGUGUUUAGAAAAAAGAUUCAAGAUGUGAUGCUGCCAAUGUCUCAGACCAAGCAAGAGUGCAUUCUCAAGGGGCUAUGCAUCUACCUGAAUGAAGAUGAAUAUGAUGGAGUAUUUGGAUGAUGACCCUGCAAGAACCGAAGCGGACAUAAAGAAGACCUUUUAGGGAUUCUGUGAUGUAAAGCAUGAAUUUGCUGAUGCAACAGAAGACCCCGAAGAUAUCUGCAUUGUGCUGGAAGAUGUGGAGGUGCUUUCUGGUUUAGGUAAUGUAGCAUUGGCUACAGCCAUGCUACUUGGACUAAUAUACUCUUUAAAUCUUACUCAUCCACAGGAGAUCCAUUACACUUUUAAGGUGCUCCAAAAAAUGAUUCUCGAGCUGAAUUUGUGUAAAUUGUCUGCCAAAGCACAGGCGCAGAAAACAAAGCUCUUCACUUAGGUGUGCUGUGUUUGAGGAUCCCUUUGUGAAUGCUGUUUUAUUUCUUUGUAUGCUCAUGUGAUUUUGUUGUAUCUGAAUUUUUGCACGAUGAGCAGAGGUGAUUACGUCUCUCAAUCACAUUUAAUGUUUAAGAAAACAAAAUAAAAUAACAUUUUGUUAUAUUCUUAUAUGCUCAUGUUUUAUUUGAAUUGUCAUUUUUGUAACUUAAUGAGCAUGUUUAAUUGCCAUAUUUGCAGUUUUAAGCAAGAAGACACUCGAGGUUAAAUGUGCUCAUGUUUUAAAUACAGAUUUUUACUAAAUGGAUUGACUUUUAACAUAUUGACUUUCUUCACAGUAGACUAUAGGUAUACAGUAAAAAGGUUUUAAUGUAAUAGAACACAAUUAUUUCACUUUCAUUUGGAAGUAACUGUAGAAUCAAGUUAGAAAAGUGUAAUGAUUUAAAUUGUUUCUAGUAUGCAGUACAAAAAUGUUUGUAGUUGACAUUGCAUUGUUAGAUAUAGUAGACAUGACCAAAUUGAAUGUAGUUAACAUAGCAUUAUUUUAUAUAGUAGGCAUGACAAAAUUCAGAGUAGUUAACCUGACACAACUUUCUCUAUUAGGCAUGGCUAAACAUUAUCUAGUAGAAUGGACCAAUUUUCUUCUUGUUGUCUUGACUAAAAUAAUUUAAGUUUACACAACAAGAUUACAACAAAUAAAUUCAAACUAAUUCGAUAUUGUUUGGAAAAUGUAAUUCAAUUUCGUGGAAAAGUUUACUCAAAUUUUUUUAAGUUCAUUCAACAACUUUUUUUUUUGAGUGUAACAGAAACAUAUGUAAAUCAUAACAUAACACAACAUUUAAGUACUAACCUACUGUAUGUCUCUCCAUGUUAUUCUUUUGUAAAAAAAAAAAAAACUCCCACAAAAAAACACUUAAUUUCUACAUUUAUUUUCCUUGUUGGCUGAUGCAAAGCAUCCUGGGAACUAGAAAACGCAAUAAUUUUAAGUUCACCUUACUACAACAGCAUUUUGAGUUUACAGAACUUAUUCCAAUUAAGUCCAAUGAACUUUCAUUAUUAUUUGAAUGACAUUAACUUUCAUUUUUUUAUAAAUUUUUACUGUUCGGUUUUACAGUGCACACCAAAUUAUACU
Molecule: long non-coding RNA, 1820 nt
Filed under: Carassius auratus (goldfish)
Lineage: Eukaryota; Metazoa; Chordata; Actinopteri; Cypriniformes; Cyprinidae
Description: lncRNA (ENSCARG00000053239.1)
Source: RNAcentral